Molecule: ribosomal RNA, 164 nt
Filed under: Senecio wairauensis
Lineage: Eukaryota; Viridiplantae; Streptophyta; Magnoliopsida; Asterales; Asteraceae
Description: 5.8S ribosomal RNA
Rfam family: 5.8S ribosomal RNA
About the family: 5.8S ribosomal RNA (5.8S rRNA) is a component of the large subunit of the eukaryotic ribosome.
Source: RNAcentral
UAAACGACUCUCGGCAACGGAUAUCUCGGCUCACGCAUCGAUGAAGAACGUAGCAAAAUGCGAUACUUGGUGUGAAUUGCAGAAUCCCGUGAACCAUCGAGUUUUUGAACGCAAGUUGCGCUCGAAGCCUUUUGGCUGAGGGCACGUCUGCCUGGGCGUCACAC